This 659-nucleotide long non-coding RNA is filed under the name Bos indicus x Bos taurus (hybrid cattle). RNAcentral's name for it is "lncRNA (ENSBIXG00005005285.1)". Lineage: Eukaryota; Metazoa; Chordata; Mammalia; Artiodactyla; Bovidae. The record is from RNAcentral.
CCACAGAUAAGUGAUAUCAUAUGAUCUUUGUCUUUCUCUGUCUGACUUACUUCACACAGUGUAAUAAUCUCUCGGCAGGACUAUGUCUUUGGAGCUAAAAUGAGUUCAUUUUCUCUUUGGAACAACUACACUGGGACAAUUUUUAUACUAGUUCGGGUGUUUGCCAUAAGUAACAAUUCACUGGGCCAAAAAGAGUGGAACAAAGCAUGAGCAUGAUAGUAAAAGCAUCGAGGAGUCUUCCACGCUCCAUGUUUAAUCCAUUCAAUUUCCUGCUAAAGUGGAAUUCCUCGCAUCACCGUCAGCCCUUCAGGUCAGCGUAGAGCAGCAGUCUCCUUUGACUCUUCUGGAAGCUUUCCACUUUGGAACUCCCAAAGAGUGGCCAGCAGUGACCAAGACGGGUUCUCUUCUGCUGUGUGGUUCAUGAAACUGGAGGGCUGGCAGCGUGCUUCUGGUUGCCAUGGAAAUGACCAGGGCCACUGGCCUUCUGGAAACGGAAAAGAACAGCAAGUGCAAGAACAGGCAUUCCGUCCUUCCUGCCGGCAGAUCACACCAGCUGUCAAGCCUGAGUGAAGGAUCAGCCCGGGAGUGCAGGAGACAACCUCUUAGUGGAGCUCUGAGAUGUGAGUUUCAAUGAAUCGGCUCAUGAAGGGGAACCUGGC